This 531-nucleotide unclassified non-coding RNA is filed under the name Hevea brasiliensis (rubber tree). Lineage: Eukaryota; Viridiplantae; Streptophyta; Magnoliopsida; Malpighiales; Euphorbiaceae. The record is from RNAcentral.
GAUAAAAACGACAUGAAUAUAUCAUAUACACCACAAGCAAACUGAAUUCACUUUAGAAACAGUAUUCUGUUGUUUUAAGUAGUAAAAAAACAGUGUCAUUGCUUUAAGUAGAAAUAGCAAAGUAGGAAAGAGCACCUUGGUAAGAAAAAAGAUAAAAGAAAAGAUAAAAGAGAAGAGGAUAAAAGAGAAGAAGAAGAUGAGGUGAGAGAAUGAGUACCAGCAAAAGUAUUAACGUAUAUGGAAGUAUUUCACUUUCUUGUGACUUUUAUCUACUUAACUUUGGAAGCCAAAAAGGAGAGCCAAAACAAAAUCCUUCACAUACACACCUUUAAGACAUAAGUAUAGGGAUGGCUCCCAUACGGAGACCACUGGAUAUCUGGCUCUCUCCUGUUUUUUUGACUAUGCCGCCUAAAACCUUCCCCUUUAAAUUGUCUUCUCAUCACCUUCCAUUUCCAUAACCCCCUCUGCACCUCUCCUCUUAAGAACCCUAGAACAACAUACACAAGCAUCCUCCUCUCUCUCUCUCUCUCU